UGCGGAAUUUUAGAUAACGGAGGGAACUCUGAUCUAGCGACGCCGCGUGCAGGAAGAAGGUCUUCGGAUUGUAAACUGCUGUGGUAAGGGAAAAAUGCUAUGUAGAGUGGAAAGCUAUAUAGAGGGAUGGUACCUUACUAGAAAGCCCCGGUUAACUACGUGCCAGCAGCCGCGGUAAUACGUAGGGGGCGAGCGUUACCCGGAAUCACUGGGCGUAAAGGGAGCGUAGGUGGCCUAACAUGUCAACUGUGAAAACCCGGAGCUCAACUCCGGACUUGCAGUUGAAACUGGUAGGCUUGAGGACGGUAGAGGAAGACGGAACUGCCAGUGUAGGGGUAAAAUCCUUAGAUAUUGGCAGGAACGCCGGUGACGAAGGUGGUUUUCUGGGCCGGUUCUGACACUGAUGCUCGAAAGCCAGGGGAGCGAACGG
Molecule: ribosomal RNA, 430 nt
Filed under: uncultured bacterium
Lineage: Bacteria
Description: bacterial SSU rRNA
Rfam family: Bacterial small subunit ribosomal RNA
Source: RNAcentral